Molecule: ribosomal RNA, 416 nt
Filed under: uncultured bacterium
Lineage: Bacteria
Description: bacterial SSU rRNA
Rfam family: Bacterial small subunit ribosomal RNA
Source: RNAcentral
UUUAUAACAAUGGCUUUAGUGGCGGACUGGUGAGUAACGCGUGAGCAACCUGCCUAUCAGAGGGGAACAACAGUUAGAAAUGACUGCUAAUACCGCAUAUGCCCAAGUAACGCAUGUUACAAUGGGGAAAGGAGCAAUCCGCUGAUAGAUGGGCUCGCGUCUGAUUAGAUAGUUGGUGGGGUAACGGCCUACCAAGUCGACGAUCAGUAGCCGGACUGAGAGGUUGAACGGCCACAUUGGGACUGAGAUACGGCCCAGACUCCUACGGGAGGCAGCAGUCGGGAAUAUUGCGCAAUGGAGGAAACUCUGACGCAGUGACGCCGCGUGCAGGAAGAAGGUUUUCGGAUUGUAAACUGCUUUAGACAAGGAAGAAUCAAGACAGUACUUGUAGAAUAAGCUCCGGCUAACUACGUGCC